Molecule: ribosomal RNA, 484 nt
Filed under: uncultured bacterium
Lineage: Bacteria
Description: partial 16S ribosomal RNA
Rfam family: Bacterial small subunit ribosomal RNA
Source: RNAcentral
AUUGAACGCUGGCGGCAGGCCUAACACAUGCAAGUCGAGCGGAUGAAGGGUGCUUGCUCCUGGAUUCAGCGGCGGACGGGUGAGUAAUGCCUAGGAAUCUGCCUGGUAGUGGGGGAUAACGUCCGGAAACGGGCGCUAAUACCGCAUACGUCCUGAGGGUGAAAGAGGGGGAUCUUCGGACCGCACGCUAUCAGAUGAGCCUAGGUCGGAUUAGCUAGUUGGUGGGGUAAAGGCCUACCAAGGCGACGAUCCGUAACUGGUCUGAGAGGAUGAUCAGUCACACUGGAACUGAGACACGGUCCAGACUCCUACGGGAGGCAGCAGUGGGGAAUAUUAGACAAUGGGCGAAAGCCUGAUCCAGCCAUGCCGCGUGUGUGAAGAAGGUCUUCGGAUUGUAAAGCACUUUAAGUUGGGAGGAAGGGCAGUAAGUUAAUACCUUGCUGUUUUGACGUUACCAACAGAAUAAGCACCGGCUAACUUCGUG